Molecule: ribosomal RNA, 1212 nt
Filed under: Escherichia coli
Lineage: Bacteria; Pseudomonadati; Pseudomonadota; Gammaproteobacteria; Enterobacterales; Enterobacteriaceae
Description: partial 23S ribosomal RNA
Rfam family: Bacterial large subunit ribosomal RNA
Source: RNAcentral
GUUAAGCGACUAAGCGUACACGGUGGAUGCCCUGGCAGUCAGAGGCGAUGAAGGACGUGCUAAUCUGCGAUAAGCGUCGGUAAGGUGAUAUGAACCGUUAUAACCGGCGAUUUCCGAAUGGGGAAACCCAGUGUGAUUCGUCACACUAUCAUUAACUGAAUCCAUAGGUUAAUGAGGCGAACCGGGGGAACUGAAACAUCUAAGUACCCCGAGGAAAAGAAAUCAACCGAGAUUCCCCCAGUAGCGGCGAGCGAACGGGGAGCAGCCCAGAGCCUGAAUCAGUGUGUGUGUUAGUGGAAGCGUCUGGAAAGGCGCGCGAUACAGGGUGACAGCCCCGUACACAAAAAUGCACAUGCUGUGAGCUCGAUGAGUAGGGCGGGACACGUGGUAUCCUGUCUGAAUAUGGGGGGACCAUCCUCCAAGGCUAAAUACUCCUGACUGACCGAUAGUGAACCAGUACCGUGAGGGAAAGGCGAAAAGAACCCCGGCGAGGGGAGUGAAAAAGAACCUGAAACCGUGUACGUACAAGCAGUGGGAGCACGCUUAGGCGUGUGACUGCGUACCUUUUGUAUAAUGGGUCAGCGACUUAUAUUCUGUAGCAAGGUUAACCGAAUAGGGGAGCCGAAGGGAAACCGAGUCUUAACUGGGCGUUAAGUUGCAGGGUAUAGACCCGAAACCCGGUGAUCUAGCCAUGGGCAGGUUGAAGGUUGGGUAACACUAACUGGAGGACCGAACCGACUAAUGUUGAAAAAUUAGCGGAUGACUUGUGGCUGGGGGUGAAAGGCCAAUCAAACCGGGAGAUAGCUGGUUCUCCCCGAAAGCUAUUUAGGUAGCGCCUCGUGAAUUCAUCUCCGGGGGUAGAGCACUGUUUCGGCAAGGGGGUCAUCCCGACUUACCAACCCGAUGCAAACUGCGAAUACCGGAGAAUGUUAUCACGGGAGACACACGGCGGGUGCUAACGUCCGUCGUGAAGAGGGAAACAACCCAGACCGCCAGCUAAGGUCCCAAAGUCAUGGUUAAGUGGGAAACGAUGUGGGAAGGCCCAGACAGCCAGGAUGUUGGCUUAGAAGCAGCCAUCAUUUAAAGAAAGCGUAAUAGCUCACUGGUCGAGUCGGCCUGCGCGGAAGAUGUAACGGGGCUAAACCAUGCACCGAAGCUGCGGCAGCGACGCUGAUGCGUUGUUGGGUAGGGGAGCGUUCUGUAAGCCUGUGA